AGAGUUUGAUCCUGGCUCAGGAUGAACGCUAGCGGCAGGCUUAACACAUGCAAGUCGAGGGGCAGCACGGGUAGCAAUACUUGGUGGCGACCGGCGCAAGGGUGCGUAACGCGUGAGCAACAUGCCCGUAUCAGGGGGAUAAUCCAUGGAAACGUGGUCUAAUACCCCAUAGUAAGUUUUUGGGGCAUCUCAAAGAUUUUAAAGCUUUGGUGGAUACGGAUUGGCUCGCGUGACAUUAGCUAGAUGGUAAGGUAACGGCUUACCAUGGCUAUGAUGUCUAGGGGUUCUGAGAGGAAGGUCCCCCACACUGGAACUGAGACACGGUCCAGACUCCUACGGGAGGCAGCAGUGAGGAAUAUUGGACAAUGGAUGGAAAUCUGAUCCAGCCAUGCCGCGUGCAGGAAGACGGCCCUAUGGGUUGUAAACUGCUUUUGUAUGGGAGCAAUAAGGGCUACGUGUAGUCCGAUGAGAGUACCAUACGAAUAAGCACCGGCUAACUCCGUGCCAGCAGCCGCGGUAAUACGGAGGGUGCAAGCGUUAUCCGGAUUUAUUGGGUUUAAAGGGUGCGUAGGCGGUUUGAUAAGUCAGCGGUGAAAUAUUUCAGCUUAACUGGAAGGGUGCCGUUGAAACUGUCGGACUUGAGUGUAAAUGAGGUAGGCGGAAUGCGUGGUGUAGCGGUGAAAUGCAUAGAUAUCACGCAGAACUCCGAUUGCGAAGGCAGCUUACUAAGCUACAACUGACACUGAAGCACGAAAGCGUGGGGAUCAAACAGGAUUAGAUACCCUGGUAGUCG
This 793-nucleotide ribosomal RNA is filed under the name uncultured bacterium. Its description in RNAcentral is "bacterial SSU rRNA". It matches the Rfam family "Bacterial small subunit ribosomal RNA", at positions 8 to 796 of the family's 1533-position model. The record is from RNAcentral.